This 454-nucleotide ribosomal RNA is filed under the name uncultured bacterium. Its description in RNAcentral is "bacterial SSU rRNA". It matches the Rfam family "Bacterial small subunit ribosomal RNA", at positions 28 to 507 of the family's 1533-position model. The record is from RNAcentral.
GACGAACGCUGGCGGCGUGCCUAAGACAUGCAAGUCGAACGGGACCUUCGGGUCUAGUGGCGAACGGCGGAGUAAUACAUAAGUAACUUGCCUCGAAGAUCGGGAUAGCCGCGGGAAACUGCGAGUAAUACCGGAUGUGACGAGUGGGGGGCAUCCCCUGCUCAUUAAAUGGUUUUUCGCUUCGAGAGCGGCUUAUGACACAUCAGCUAGUUGGUGGGGUAAAGGCCUACCAAGGCGACGACGUGUAGGGGGUCUGAGAGGAUGAUCCCCCCGAGUGGGACUGAGACACGGCCCACACACCUACGGGUGGCAGCAGUUGGGAAUCUUGCACAAUUGGGGGAAACCCUGAUGCAGCGACGCCGCGUUGGAGGAAGAAGGGUCUAGGCUCGUAAACUCCUUUUUCAGGGAAAGACUUAGGACGGUACCCUGAGAAUAAGCUCCGGCUAACUACGUG